Molecule: ribosomal RNA, 461 nt
Filed under: uncultured bacterium
Lineage: Bacteria
Description: partial 16S ribosomal RNA
Rfam family: Bacterial small subunit ribosomal RNA
Source: RNAcentral
CCUACGGGGGGCUGCAGUGAGGCAUAUUGGUCAAUGGGCUUACGCCUGAACCAGCCAAGUCGCGUGAGGGAAGACUGCCCUAUGGGUUGUAAACCUCUUUUGUCAGGGAGCAACGCCGGCUACGGGUAGCCGGACUGAGAGUAUCGGAAGAAAAAGCAUCGGAUAAUCCCGUCCCAGCAGCCCCGGUAAUAAGAAGGAUCCGAGGGUUAUAAGGAUUGAUUGGUUUUAAAGGGAGCGUAGAUGGGUUGUUAAGUCAGUUGUGAAAGUUUGCGGCUCAACCGUAAAAUUGAAUUUGAUACUGGCAGUCUUGAGUACAGUUGAGGUAGGCGGAAUUCGUGGUGUAGCGGUGAAAUGCUUAGAUAUCACGAAGAACCCCGAUUGCGAAGGCAGCUUACUAAACUGUGACUGACAUUGAUGCUCGAAAGUGUGGGUAUCAAACAGGAUUAGAUACCCGAGUAGUC